Small nucleolar RNA from Bombina bombina (fire-bellied toad), 78 nucleotides. RefSeq annotates it as small nucleolar RNA SNORD19. The record is from RefSeq and is a predicted model, not a curated record. Lineage: Eukaryota; Metazoa; Chordata; Amphibia; Anura; Bombinatoridae. The transcript has a single exon.
AAGAGAUGAGGAGAACUUUUCAUGCAGUCUGAAAAAACAAUGAAGACUGUCAGAUCCAACUCUGAUCUUCUCAUGGCU